UACAGAGGUCCCAAGCGUUGUUCGGAUUCACUGGGCGUAAAGGGUGCGUAGGCGGUCGGGUAAGUCUGACGUGAAAUCUUCAAGCUUAACUUGGAAACUGCGUCGGAUACUAUUCGGCUAGAGGAAUGGAGGGGAGACUGGAAUACUUGGUGUAGCAGUGAAAUGCGUAGAUAUCAAGUGGAACACCAGUGGCAAAGGCGAGUCUCUGGACAUUUCCUGACGCUGAGGCACGAAAGCCAGGGGAGCAAACGGG
Molecule: ribosomal RNA, 253 nt
Filed under: uncultured bacterium
Lineage: Bacteria
Description: partial 16S ribosomal RNA
Rfam family: Bacterial small subunit ribosomal RNA
Source: RNAcentral